Pelobates cultripes (western spadefoot toad) is the source of this 241-nucleotide non-coding RNA. The record is from the annotation of a GenBank genome assembly. NCBI's taxonomy places the organism in Eukaryota, Metazoa, Chordata, Amphibia, Anura, Pelobatidae.
CCUGGGUCUAUCCUUCCAUGGAAUAAAAGGUCUUGUGGAGUCUUACAACAUUUUUUCUGAAAAUUUUCAAAAGCCCUUGAUGGGGACCCUUGAUUCAUCCCCCAGAACAGGUAUCUGAGGGAUACAGAGUGCUGAAGUCCUUACUGGAUAGAAAAUUUAAUGAUUCUAGGCAGUUGGCUAUUCCAAAAAAAUAAUAUAAUUAUCUGACCAUUUAUAAUCUGUUUUAAUACACUAUCCAAAC